Long non-coding RNA from Aethalodelphis obliquidens (Pacific white-sided dolphin), 1839 nucleotides. RefSeq lists it as uncharacterized. NCBI's taxonomy places the organism in Eukaryota, Metazoa, Chordata, Mammalia, Artiodactyla, Delphinidae. The record is from RefSeq and is a predicted model, not a curated record. The transcript has 2 exons.
GUAGCCCCUGCUCGCAGCAACUCAAGAAAGCCCGCGUGCAGCAACAAAGACCCGACACAGCCAAUAAUUAAUUAAUUAAUAAUUAUAAAAAAGCUGUUCAGUAUUUUGAAACUUUGCCAUACAGAAAACAGGCAGCAGGCCAGAUCUGGACCAUGAGCUGUAGUUUGCCAUCCCUGCUCUACCCUGACAUAAAACAUCCUUACUUUUCCAAUGAAGUCACCCUGAGGACAGAGGAACAUGAACAAGUAUGUUUUGGGGGGCUGCAGGAUAUCCCUGAAGCAGUCACCACAAGCUAGACAUUUUAUGAAGGUCUAUCACAAUGUCAACUAAAGUAAUUUUAAUAAGAUUAUUUUAAUACGUAUUUAUGUCAGCAUUAAUGAAAAUAUUCAAUUACUACUUAAAUUACAUAGCCUUUCUGCCUCAAAAUUUUGAAUAAACUAACACUGCUUGGUGUAUCCCAAGCACAACACAAGGUAAUGCUCAAUGCUCCCAGUGACACAAACCUGUUUGAGAAAGGAGAAUGAUGAUCCAUUAUAGCAUGAGGCAGGACUGAAAUCAGCAGUCUUCCUAUAGCAGGUACUGUCUUCUUUUGGUUCUGACAUAGAAGAUGGCUUGAUCGCAGUAAAACCUAUUAACUAUCCAACUUCCUAGCAAUUGCUUCUCUCUCUCUGGAGUCCAGUGAUUCUCCCUUAAUGACGCCCAAGCCUCCAGCAUGAACUGUUUGCAUGUUUUUCUGUUUACGGCACAUCACAGUGGAGUCCCAAGUCACAGUCAACAGCCAAGGUGAGACCCCCUAGUGCUGGGCUCAUUGACUCAGCCUUUAAUUUUCAUGUACUGCUCUGACUCAAAUGACACAAACCCAUAUAAGCGUAAAACCCAUGGCAUCAUUCCACUGUGUUAGUUUCAAUCUCGAUGCCUCCAGUAAUUUAAUACUCAGUCAAAAAAGAACCUGGUGCAUUUUGCUUCCCAUUCUGUUUUAUUCCAGUACUUUAGUUUUAGAACCUCAUUUGGGUUUUUUAAAAGCAAAGCUUCCUACAAGCCUAGUAAAUGCACAAGCACAGGUUUCAUUACUUCUAUUUUGUCAAAUGUAGCAUUCAACCGGAUUCUCUCCAAUUUUGUAUCAAAUGAUGAAACACAGCUAAACUGGACCCAGUCCUUGCUAGCAUGUUAACAGAUUUUGUUCAAAAGUCUGCCAUGUCCUUCCUGUUGCAUAAAUGAUCACCAGUCCUGGGACCACUGCAUGUUCCAAGGCUCUCAAACGGUACUAAAUUUAUUACUUCCAGUGGAAUGUGUAAAUUGGCCUGGCCUUUCCACCCAUACCCCACGCCCCCCCGUAGCAAAGUCUGUCUCUCACACCCGUUGUAAAUAUUUCUUCCCAUAAGUAUGGAAGAACUUUUGCCACACCCCCCACAACAAAUGUCAUGCUAUGUUCAUACUCAGAACAAACCAAUGCCAAAAAAAGGAGCAAGAUACCAAAUUUGUUUUAACUUUUUAUUAAAACGCUUAGGAUACAGAUUGACUUUCUUUUGUAAAUGACUGUUUUACUUUUCCUGAAAUAGGACAUAUAUGCACUCUGAUAAAACAGAAUGAAAAGUCUCAAUUCAUGGGAGUUCCAGUACAAAGCUCUGACCCUAACUGUCGAGCCAAGUUCCUCACAGCGGCUUCUUUCCUCUAUAUUAUUUCUGUGGGACAAGAAAUAGACUGCUGCCACUUGAUUUUUCAAUCCCGACUCUUUCUCCAGUGGCCAAAAUAAACCACCUUCACAAAGAGCUGCCCUGUGUAGAAUCCAGUUUUCUAGCUUGCUAAAAAGUGAUUAGGGACAAAUAUAAAAAAAAAAAA